Molecule: ribosomal RNA, 497 nt
Filed under: uncultured Pedobacter sp.
Lineage: Bacteria; Pseudomonadati; Bacteroidota; Sphingobacteriia; Sphingobacteriales; Sphingobacteriaceae
Description: partial 16S ribosomal RNA
Source: RNAcentral
UACGGAGUUAGCCGAUCCUUAUUCUUGCCGUACAUUCAGCUAUCUACACGUAAAUAGGUUUAUUCCGACAUAAAAGCAGUUUACGACCCAUAGGGCUGUCUUCCUGCACGCGGCAUGGCUGGUUCAGAGUUGCCUCCAUUGACCAAUAUUCCUUACUGCUGCCUCCCGUAGGAGUCUGGUCCGUGUCUCAGUACCAGUGUGGGGGGUCAUCCUCUCAGAUCCCCUAGUCAUCGUCGCCUUGGUAAGCCGUUACCUUACCAACUAGCUAAUGACACGCAUGCCCAUCUUCAUCCUAUAAAUAUUUGACCAUUGGAUAAUGCUAUCCUGUGGUUUUAUGCGGUGUUAAUCCGAAUUUCUUCGGGCUAUCCCCCUGAUGAAGGUAGGUUGCAUACGCGUUACGCACCCGUACGCCACUCUCAUAGGACCGAAGUCCUAAUCCCGUUCGACUUGCAUGUAUUAGGCCUGCCGCUAGCGUUCAUCCUGAGCCAGGAUCAAAC